AGUGAACGCUGGCGGUAGGCCUAACACAUGCAAGUCGAACGGCAGCACAGUAAGAGCUUGCUCUUACGGGUGGCGAGUGGCGGACGGGUGAGGUAUACAUCGGAAUCUACUUUUUCGUGGGGGAUAACGUAGGGAAACUUACGCUAAUACCGCAUACGACCUACGGGUGAAAGCAGGGGAUCUUCGGACCUUGCGCGAGUGAAUGAGCCGAUGUCGGAUUAGCUAGUUGGCGGGGUAAAGGCCCACCAAGGCGACGAUCCGUAGCUGGUCUGAGAGGAUGAUCAGCCACACGGGAACUGAGACACGGUCCAGACUCCUACGGGAGGCAGCAGUGGGGAAUAUUGGACAAUGGGCGAAAGCCUGAUACAGCAAUACCGCGUGGGUGAAGAAGGCCUUCGGGUUGUAAAGCCCUUAUGUUGGGAAAGAAAAGCAGCAGGUUAAUACGCCGCUGUUCUGACGGUACCCAAAGAAUAAGCACCGGCUAACUUCGUG
This 492-nucleotide ribosomal RNA is filed under the name uncultured bacterium. Its description in RNAcentral is "partial 16S ribosomal RNA". It matches the Rfam family "Bacterial small subunit ribosomal RNA", at positions 29 to 507 of the family's 1533-position model. The record is from RNAcentral.